This 968-nucleotide long non-coding RNA is filed under the name Monodelphis domestica (gray short-tailed opossum). Its description in RNAcentral is "lncRNA (ENSMODG00000048292.1)". Lineage: Eukaryota; Metazoa; Chordata; Mammalia; Didelphimorphia; Didelphidae. The record is from RNAcentral.
UCCUAGCCUCAGUUUCCAUAUCUGUCAAAAUGAGGUGGUUGGAUUAGAUGGCCUCUAAGGUUCUUUCUAUGUCAAAAGCUGUGACUUUGAGAGUAAUGGAGUAUUUUGAUUUUAAAGAUCUUGCCAUAAGCCCCCAGUGACUCCAUUAUUUCCAUUGUGAGUCAUGGCUCUGGAGAUGAGGACCUCUUUUCUUAUUGGUCAGCUUCCUUCCCCACAGUGGACCCCAUGGCUGCUGCCUCUGUGUCUGCUCUUCCAUCUCUUUUUUAAUUUCUGCUGUGGGCAAAGAGCACUUUGGAUUUCUCCCAUCAUCUGAUCCUCUCAAAUAUUUCCCUUUCAUUAAUGUUUCCUCAGGAGUUCAGCAGCACCCCAACAAGGCAAGACUUUCUUUGAUGAACUGAAGAUGGCAUAUGACUUCCCACCGAAUUCUAACAACAUAGACAGAAGGGGAAAUGAAUAUCUAAUAAGGGAAAUGAGAAGAAAGCUGUUUGGAAGGAGGGGGCCUUUCCUGUUGCCCACGGCGACUCUACUUGGUAAGAGCUGGGUCAGAAGUUUGGUGCCCAUUUCUGGACAAUGGUCAGCUCAUGCCUCAUGCAGUCGAUGUGUGUGUUCCUGAGACUUGUGUGUAAAGAUCAUUUAAACACAAAUUGAUCUUUGGUAAACUGAACCAUAAUCUCCCACUGGUCUCCAUUAUCCUUUCAGCAAUGGCUCAUCUUCCUCUCUGAUUGAUUUUCCAUUGGCAGUGGCUCUCAAGGCUUUGGCUUGCAGCUUCUCUGUUUCCAGUCUCUCCCCAGUAGUUAAUGGUCUGUAAACUAACACUUAAAUGUGCUGCCGGAGAUGCCUACCCCCCAACCCCCAGUGCUAUUAUGAGUAAUGGCAAGAGUCCUUUUAGAAUAAUCAUGUAGUAAAUAUUCUGUUUUGUCCAUAUGGCUUUUCAGACAUUGACUGGCCUGGUGGGCUAUUUCUAUCAG